This 486-nucleotide ribosomal RNA is filed under the name uncultured bacterium. Its description in RNAcentral is "bacterial SSU rRNA". It matches the Rfam family "Bacterial small subunit ribosomal RNA", at positions 10 to 500 of the family's 1533-position model. The record is from RNAcentral.
AGCUUUGAUCCUGGCUCAGACGAACGCUGGCGGCGUGCUUAACACAUGCAAGUCGAACGAAGCUAUUUGGGUAGCUUGGCUACUGGGAUAGACUUAGUGGCGGACGGGGUGAGUAACACGUGGGUGACAUACCUGGGAGACAGGGAUAACAGUUCGAAAGGGCUGCUAAUACCUGAUAAUCCCAUAAGUUUACGGAUUUAUGGGCAAAGCGUUAUGUAGUGCUUCCAGAUGGGCCCGCGGCCCAUUAGUUAGUUGGUGGGGUAAAGGCCUACCAAGGCGAUGAUGGGUAGCCGGUCUGAGAGGAUGGACGGCCACACUGGGACUGAGAACGGCCCAGACUCCUACGGGAGGCAGCAGUGGGGAAUUUUGCGCAAUGGGGGCAACCCUGACGCAGCGACGUCGUGUGAGUGAUGAAGGCUUUCGGGUCGUAAAGCUCUGUCUACGGGGAAGAUAAUGACGGUACCCUGUGGAGGAAGCCCCGGCGUA